Molecule: ribosomal RNA, 293 nt
Filed under: uncultured bacterium
Lineage: Bacteria
Description: partial 16S ribosomal RNA
Source: RNAcentral
GGACUACAGGGGUUUCUAAUCCUGUUCGCUCCCCACGCUUUCGUACCUCAGUGUCAGGUGUGGCCCAGCAAGCUGCCUUCGCCAUUGGUGUUCCUUCCGAUCUCUACGCAUUUCACUGCUACACCGGAAAUUCCACUUGCCUCUGCCAACCUCAAGAAACCCAGUAUGAGACACAGUCUAGACGGUUGAGCCGCCAGAUUUCGCAUCUCACUUAAAUCUCCACCUACGUACGCUUUACGCCCAGUAAUUCCGGAUAACGCUUGGAUCCUACGUAUUACCGCGGCUGCUGGCAC